GAUGAACGCUGGCGGCGUGCCUAAUACAUGCAAGUCGAGCGAACGGACGAGAAGCUUGCUUCUCUGAUGUUAGCGGCGGACGGGAGAGUAACACGUGGAUAACCUACCUAUAAGACUGGGAUAACUUCGGGAAACCGGAGCUAAUACCGGAUAAUAUUUUGAACCGCAUGGUUCAAAAGUGAAAGACGGUCUUGCUGUCACUUAUAGAUGUAUCCGCGCUGCAUUAGCUAGUUGGUAAGGUAACGGCUUACCAAGGCAACGAUGCAUAGCCGACCUGAGAGGGUGAUCGGCCACACUGGAACUGAGACACGGUCCAGACUCCUACGGGAGGCAGCAGUAGGGAAUCUUCCGCAAUGGGCGAAAGCCUGACGGGACAACGCCGCGUGAGUGAUGAAGGUCUUCGGAUCGUAGAACUCUGUUAUUAGGGAAGAACAUAUGUGUAAGUAACUGUGCACAUCUUGACGGUACCUAAUCAGAAAGCCACGGCUAACUACGUG
Molecule: ribosomal RNA, 497 nt
Filed under: uncultured bacterium
Lineage: Bacteria
Description: partial 16S ribosomal RNA
Rfam family: Bacterial small subunit ribosomal RNA
Source: RNAcentral